Molecule: ribosomal RNA, 497 nt
Filed under: uncultured bacterium
Lineage: Bacteria
Description: partial 16S ribosomal RNA
Rfam family: Bacterial small subunit ribosomal RNA
Source: RNAcentral
GACGAACGCUGGCGGCGUGCCUAAUACAUGCAAGUUGAGCGCUGAAGGUUGGUACUUGUACCGACUGGAUGAGCAGCGAACGGGUGAGUAACGCGUGGGGAAUCUGCCUUUGGGCGGGGGACAACAUUUGGAAACGAAUGCUAAUACCGCAUAAAAACUUUAAACACAAGUUUUAAGUUUGAAAGAUGCAAUUGCAUCACUCAAAGAUGAUCCCGCGUUGUAUUGGCUAGUUGGUGAGGUAAAGGCUCACCAAGGCGAUGAUACAUAGCCGACCUGAGAGGGUGAUCGGCCACAUUGGGACUGAGACACGGCCCAAACUCCUACGGGAGGCAGCAGUAGGGAAUCUUCGGCAAUGGACGAAAGUCUGACCGAGCAACGCCGCGUGAGUGAAGAAGGUUUUCGGAUCGGAAAACUCUGUUGGUAGAGAAGAACGUUGGUGAGAGUGGAAAGCUCAUCAAGUGACGGUAACUACCCAGAAAGGGACGGCUAACUACGUG